Small nuclear RNA from Sinocyclocheilus anshuiensis, 136 nucleotides. The record is from Ensembl. NCBI's taxonomy places the organism in Eukaryota, Metazoa, Chordata, Actinopteri, Cypriniformes, Cyprinidae.
AAAAAGGGCAUCUGCUGCGACCGGCACAGCUGUGGGUAGGGUUUUCUGACACAGCUGCGGAAUCGCUAUCAAGAGAUUCCAGAUGCACGAUUUUUAUAACCCGAGGCUGCUAAUGAUCGUUAUUCUUGGUGCCUCA